Molecule: ribosomal RNA, 498 nt
Filed under: uncultured bacterium
Lineage: Bacteria
Description: bacterial SSU rRNA
Rfam family: Bacterial small subunit ribosomal RNA
Source: RNAcentral
GAUGAACGCUAGCUACAGGCUUAACACAUGCAAGUCGAGGGGCAGCAUGUCGGUUGCUUGCAACCGAUGAUGGCGACCGGCGCACGGGUGAGUAACGCGUAUCCAACCUACCCUUGUCCAUCGGAUAACCCGUCGAAAGGCGGCCUAACACGAUAUGCGGUUCUCUGCAGGCAUCUAACGAGAACGAAAUGUGAAGGAGAAGGAUGGGGAUGCGUCUGAUUAGCUUGUUGGCGGGGUAACGGCCCACCAAGGCGACGAUCAGUAGCCGACCUGAGAGGGUGACCGGCCACAUUGGGACUGAGACACGGUCCAAAACUCCUACGGGAGGCAGCAGUGAGGAAUAUUGGUCAAUGGGCGAGAGCCUGAACCAGCCAAGUAGCGUGUGGGAUGACGGCCCUAUGGGUUGUAAACUGCUUUUAUAAGGGAAUAAAGUGGAGGUCGUGACCUCUUUGCAUGUACCUUAUGAAUAAGGACCGGCUAAUUCCGUGCCAGCAGCCG